RNAcentral lists this ribosomal RNA (57 nucleotides) under Senna uniflora. RNAcentral describes it as "partial 28S ribosomal RNA". Lineage: Eukaryota; Viridiplantae; Streptophyta; Magnoliopsida; Fabales; Fabaceae. The record is from RNAcentral.
CCCCACGUCAUGAGGAGAUACCCGCUGAGUUUAAGCAUAUCAAUAAGCCGGAGGAAG